CACCGCCCCAACUGCUCUGGGCCUCUAGGUAGCACGGGAAAGUGGAAAGGUGACUCUGGGCCAAAGCAAAGGUGGUGCCAGCAGCCAGGGGAAGGAAGGCCCAUUCUUGCACGAAUCUUCAUGCACCGGACCUCUAGUAAGUAUACAAGUUUUU
Pipistrellus kuhlii (Kuhl's pipistrelle) is the source of this 154-nucleotide long non-coding RNA. RefSeq lists it as uncharacterized. The transcript is spliced from 3 exons. Lineage: Eukaryota; Metazoa; Chordata; Mammalia; Chiroptera; Vespertilionidae. The record is from RefSeq and is a predicted model, not a curated record.